GGGCCAUUUGCUUAGCCAAAAUUGGAAAUUUAUUCCCAUUUCUAAAUUGGUUAUCAAGGUUUUUGAGUACGCUUGGCCAACAAGCGCAGGUCUUAUAAACCUGAGAUCCGGGGUUCAAAUCCCCGAUGGCCCA
This 133-nucleotide transfer RNA is filed under the name Promethearchaeota archaeon. RNAcentral describes it as "Candidatus Lokiarchaeota archaeon (permafrost metagenome) tRNA-Ile". The stretch from base 71 to 125 matches the Rfam family "tRNA", at positions 10 to 63 of the family's 71-position model. The record is from RNAcentral. Lineage: Archaea; Promethearchaeati; Promethearchaeota.